Ornithodoros turicata is the source of this 1745-nucleotide long non-coding RNA. RefSeq lists it as uncharacterized. NCBI's taxonomy places the organism in Eukaryota, Metazoa, Arthropoda, Arachnida, Ixodida, Argasidae. The record is from RefSeq and is a predicted model, not a curated record. The transcript has 2 exons.
AAACGCCAUUUUGUGCGUCAUCUCUGUCUGUUCGCUUUCCCGCUUACUCCGGUCGCCAUUUUCAAGUAUGACGAAAGCGCGUGACGGCGAUUCGGACUUCAAGCAGGGGCGGACCCAGGCCCUCGGUUGAGAGAGGGGGUGGGGUGAAUCGCCCCCCACCCCCAGAUCCGCCACUGACUUAUCCCCUCCACUUACGAAGAAACCUUUCUUUGUCGCCUUACUAUGCGUCAUCCUUAAUCAUCAGCACCUCUUCUGGGUGUAAAUUUCUAACGGCGCAUGUCGCCUUCACCCAGGCAUGCGCAACCAAACGACAUAACAGAAGUCGCCAGGACAGUUGUUUGAACUGGUGGUAAGCGUACCACUAACACGAAACAACCAAUGUCAUGUUAGAAAGUCAGAAAGUGUUACCGUAAUCGCGCGCUGGUUUUCCCUUAUCGCCAGCGCAACUCUGCUGACCUGUUACCAUGCCAGAUAAGACUGAAUUUUUCUUGUUUCGCUUCGGAAUGCAUGAGGCUGAUAAGCUAGAGCAAGCGACAGCAAGAUACAAGGAUUGCUCCUCCUCUUCGGUGGGGUCUUGCCCAAUGGCGGCAGCUCUUUGUUACCAUGGCAACGUCCUCCAGAAGACACUCCGAUACUCCUCGAAGUAGGGAACUUAUCAGUCGCAACCUAGCUUCUAACAGACAUCGCUCAUUCAAUCCACGAAAAGAAAACGGGAAAAACCAGAUAUGUCACAUUCCCAGUCUCUAGGUAAAAAAAAUCGGAUUGCGAGGGAGGGGGUUAAAGAACAGGUAAUGAAAUUGAAAUCGCUCGGGAGCAAAAAUCGUGCUGACGCAGACUCCAACCUACACACUCCAGAUUUCCAGUCAGGGAUGCUUGUUCACAACAGAUUAACCAUUCUUCUGAAAGCUCAUCUCCCCAAAUGCAAGCUGGAAAUUUAUAUCCCUAGAAGAAAUUGCACAGAGAAAAUUUGCAUCCAUUCACUUUUAUUCCCCCGCGAUGGGAGCAAAUUGGUGCCAUUUUUCUGUGAGCUCUCGUAAAGAGUUAUUACUUUCAUGGAAGGACCACUUAAAAACCUGCGACAUUUAAGUAAGUCCCGUCUAAUGGAGAGAAGAAAAAAAAAAAAAACAUGUACACACACACACACGUAUCUACAGCAUUUCCCUUUGCUUAAACCGACCAAUGCGGCACAACCAAAGAUCCGUGCCGGACUCCUGUCCCGACAGUCCGGAAAUGAGAGGCCCAAGGCGCACACCAAGAGUGAUGUUUUCCAAUGUGAUGACGAUGUAGCUUUAUUGACGCAGGUUGCACCCACAAUGAAAGCCCGCCCCACCCCAUAACUUAAACCUCGUCAAACAAAAACACAUUUCUUCGUCCCAGAAUUUUUUCGGGGGACCGCAACUGCGGGGGCCGAACGGGGCCCUCUGCGGGUUGAUGAAACGGGACGGCCCCAUCUCCUUUCCGCUGGCCACCGCGUCGUCUCGGAUUACUUUUUUCGUGGGUACCCAAUACCAGAAACUCCGCAGUGCCUUUUUUUUUUCUCUUCCGCGACGUGCGCAACAAAUCCGCAAUUUUUUUUUCCUUUCUUUUUCGACGGCGGACGAUGAUGAUGUCCAGGGGAAAACCGGAGAUGGUGGCUGUGAUGAAAGCGAGCAGAAUUGUCAAACAGGACGUCUUCCCCCCCUUCCCAGAAACCCCCCCAAAAGUCAUUAUGCGUCAUCUUCAUCGUCGUCAUCUUCCGCGCCGUC